RNAcentral lists this ribosomal RNA (437 nucleotides) under uncultured bacterium. RNAcentral's name for it is "partial 16S ribosomal RNA". It matches the Rfam family "Bacterial small subunit ribosomal RNA", at positions 28 to 507 of the family's 1533-position model. The record is from RNAcentral.
GAUGAACGCUGGCGGCAUGCUUAACAAAUGCAAGUCGGACGGGGAGUGCUGUUUCCAGUGGCGGACGGGUGAGGAACGCGCAAGAACCUGCCCUUGGGCGGGGAACAACAACUGGAAACGGCUGCUAAUACCCCGCAGGCUGAGGAGCAAAAGGAGGAAUCCGCCCGCGGAGGGGCCCGCGUCUGAUUAUCUAGUUGGUGAGGCAUUAGCUUACCAAGGCGAUGGUCAGUAGCUGGUACGAGAGGAUGAGCAGCCACACUGGGACUGAAACGCGGACCAGGCACCGACGGGCGGCAGCAGUGUGGAAUCUUCCGCAAUGUGCGGCUGCCUGACGGGGCCCUGCCGCGUGGAGGUAGAUGGCCCACGGGUCGUGAACUUCUUUUCCCGGCGAAGAAGCAAUGACGUGAUCUGGCGUCUAAGCAUCGGCUAACUCCGUG